UACGGAGGGUGCAAGCGUUAAUCGGAAUUACUGGGCGUAAAGCGCGCGUAGGCGGCUUUGUAAGUCGGAUGUGAAAGCCCCGGGCUUAACCUGGGAAUUGCAUUCGAUACUGCAUAGCUAGAGUAUGGUAGAGGGUAGCGGAAUUCCGGGUGUAGCGGUGAAAUGCGUAGAUAUCCGGAGGAACACCAGUGGCGAAGGCGGCUACCUGGACCAAUACUGACGCUGAGGUGCGAAAGCGUGGGGAGCAAAC
This 250-nucleotide ribosomal RNA is filed under the name uncultured bacterium. RNAcentral describes it as "partial 16S ribosomal RNA". It matches the Rfam family "Bacterial small subunit ribosomal RNA", at positions 524 to 773 of the family's 1533-position model. The record is from RNAcentral.